Molecule: long non-coding RNA, 323 nt
Filed under: Homo sapiens (human)
Lineage: Eukaryota; Metazoa; Chordata; Mammalia; Primates; Hominidae
Description: non-protein coding lnc-C12orf74-6:3
Source: RNAcentral
GGCUUUUGAGAUUCCACAAUGCUUGGGAGAAAAUGUGGAUGUCUCCAGGGAGGCCAUACCUAAUGAGGAGCUCCCAACAAAUGGCAACUGAUGUUACCUACAACCGAAUACGUCAAGAAGGAAACACACUCGCUUCAGCCUGCACCAACCAAAAUGACUGCUCAAAGGCCAUUCAGCCCCUUUAUCACUGUGGCUCAACUUUGAUUUUCUUCCCAGUUCAUCCAUGAUUCAGACUUCUUCUGUUUCAGGAGCUUUGCCCAUGCGUUCUGCCACCUUCUGCCAGGAAUUACACCUGUCCCAUCCCGUCGUCUCCUGAAUGUCCA